CCCGCCCCGCUUCCGCCGCCCGGCCGCGCUUGCAGCGUCAUCCCGGGGGCUGGUUUGAAUGAGACCCCGAGCGGGGCCGGGACCCGCCGCCGCCGCCGCCUCCCGCCCGCCCGCGCCCACCCGCGCCGAGCCCCGCCGCCUUGCGCCCGCCCGCCCCGCCGUGCGCCCGGGCCGCGCCGCUCCGCCAUGCCGCUCUUCUCAGGCUCCGAUGGGUUGGAAAAGCCCAAGUCUAACCUUUGACCAGGCACAACCAUGUCAACUAGACCAAGGCACCGAAUGCCGCAUCCAGCCCUCUCUUAAACACCUCCAGGCAUGGUGACUUCACCGCCUUCCUGGGCAGAAUAUUCCAGUGUCUAAUCACCCUUUCUGUGAAGAAAUUCUUCCUAAUGUCUAGCCUAAACUUAAAAUUGAAGCUUAAAUUGUACCUCAUCCUGCUGGCCCUUCUUGCUGUGAGGAAAGGUUUCCGUGGAAGACUUCAAGAACAAAGCCGCCGGUGACACUUUGGGACCAGUUACUGCCUUGAUAAUAUCUCACAGAUUUGGCCUCUUUGAGCUUUUCAGUAUUUGAGGUUGUAUGCAGCCUCAGUACACAGCUUGUCCACUGUUUUGGCUGUGGUUGGCAAACUGGGAUCCUUAUGUCAGUGUGAUGAUUUUUCCUGAACCCAUCCAAAUCUAGUGGAGUCUCCCUCACUGGAGAUAUGCAGGAGUGGUUUGGGCACAGUCCUGUGGCUUGUGCUCUGGGAUGGCCCUGCUCGAGCAGCGAGGUGGGAUGAGAUGAGCCUCUGUGGUCCCUUCCAACCUGACCCAUUCUGUGAAGUGUAUGUGCUGUGUUUUCUGAUCAGCAGGGAAAAUACGUCCUUCCUCUUUCUUACUUUGCAUUGUUUUCAAAUUAACGAGUUUCUCUUUUGUUUUGCACGAAGUCUUGGUUGCAAUCUCUGAAGAGAAGACAGUCAUGCUCUUCCAUUCUUCCUCUUGAGUGCUGCAUUGUCAAAACCAGCAACGUUACAGAUUAAUAAUUGCUAACUCUUCUGCAUAUUUAGCAGUGGAAGCAUGACUGUUCAAAAAUUCAAAACCUAAAAGUCUGUGCAGCUGACUUGUUCAGUGACUGAGUAGGUUGUCUUCCUGGAAAAUGGGAAAAGUCUUGUGCUUUGUAGGUCUUAAAUAUGCAAAAUAAUAAAUGUGUUUUUAAAAAAAAUUGGAACGUUGGGAAAAAUAGAAGAUGCUUUCUAUUAGAAAUACUGAAAAGUCAGUCAUUUGAGUUCCUUUGUAAACUAAUUUAGUCUAACUCAUUAGACUUGAUUUUGAUUAUUCUGUGAUAUUACACAUCACGCAUUGCAUACGUCUGAAAUCUGAACCUUUUGGGAAGGGUUUUCAAAAUUAUGACUUCUAAGAGUUUUGUGUUUUGAAAAUAUAUUUAUGUGAAACCAAAGCACCGGUAGAAGGAUGUGGCUUUCCUAAAGUCUGGUAUUUCAGCCAUUUACUGUGCAUUGAGGCUAUUGCUGCAUGCUGUGUUUUACAGAUUUUCAGUAAAAUCUCAGCUUGCUAAGGAAGCCUUAUGUACCUGUGUUAGUUCUUGGAAGUGUUCAAAGGUGUGUCACUGUUCUGUUCGCUGUAGAGGCACACAGCUUAUUCCAGGCAUUUUCUGUCUGCUCUUGGUCAUUACUAACCUCACCACAGUGACGUUAACAUUCCAUCGAGCCAUUCUGCCUCCUGUUUCUGCUAAUGAUCCCAUAUCCAUCAGAGGUUUACACUUUUUGUGACCAAAUUUCGCUUUGCUUCUUAAUUCCAGUCCUGCACCUUACUGGGGUCAAUAGCCUUGCUUUUAAAGAGCACUGUAUUGUUUUCCUCUGAAGGAGAACGGAAGUGCUACGGAUAACUGAGCUGGAAUUGCACCUCUGAACUUCCCUCAGAAAGUUCAGUUGUUUGCAGCAAUCAGUGCCAAGAGAAUGGGAGACUUAGUUCCAAACUGCUUUUCUGAAGACCUGAAGAAGGGUUUUUCGUGCUGUUAGAAACAUGAAAAACACUUUUCACUUGUUUUGUAGGAUAUUUUUAGACCUGCUGGAGGUGGUAUGUUCUGAUGGAUGAGGUGCCGUAUAGUAAAAGCGUUCCCUACCUUCAUUAUUGACAAUUUAAGAGUCGAAACCAGAAUGUUUUGAGACUGUAUGACGUCUUAGUAUUCUUGGUAAUUGCAUUCUUGAGUAUUAGGAAAUAAUCAAGUU
RNAcentral lists this long non-coding RNA (2218 nucleotides) under Camarhynchus parvulus. Its description in RNAcentral is "lncRNA (ENSCPVG00000018237.1)". The record is from RNAcentral. Lineage: Eukaryota; Metazoa; Chordata; Aves; Passeriformes; Thraupidae.